Rhododendron vialii is the source of this 2544-nucleotide long non-coding RNA. RefSeq lists it as uncharacterized. The record is from RefSeq and is a predicted model, not a curated record. NCBI's taxonomy places the organism in Eukaryota, Viridiplantae, Streptophyta, Magnoliopsida, Ericales, Ericaceae. The transcript has 2 exons.
CAAUUUAGACAGGCAAUGGAGCAGAAAUUUCAUGAUCGGUGACAAAGCUUUCAAAAUGGAUGUUGUUGUUGCAAAAUUAACAGGUGUAAAACCACCAUAAACGGAUUAGGAUAAAUCCCGGCGACAAUGAAAUCCCAUAAAUAAAGAACAAUGAAAGCAAUACAAAAUCGAAAUCGAUCAGCUGAAGAGAAUGGAAGAUUUGAAGAGACCUCUGUUACUAUGGCAUUGAGACCAUUUCCGAUCAGAUUCCUUCCGUAACCACUCUCCGAUGAUCAACCACUCUCUCUCUCUCUCCCUCCCUCCCUCCCUCUCCGUCGGAGUGAAUUUAUUCCACAAUACUCUAAAAUGGGUUUGAUCCAGUGCGACCAAAUCUAUUUUCUCACAAAAAAAUUCACUGAAACCAUCUCCGAUUAUGUACUAAACAGAAUUCGAUUAGCACGAUCUCAGUAAUGAUUUAUCUACUCGACACGACCUACAAAUUGAACAGUUUCGAUCGAAAAACGAACCCCGAAUCAGUUCGCAAUUUACCAAUUACACAUUGCAGUUCGUCCUUCCAAAGAGCACUUCGUUUAAGAACAAAACGGUUUUGAUGCAAUGUGGCCAAGUCUAUUUUCACAAAAAUAAAAACACAUAAAUCAUAUCCGAUUAUGUAUUAAAAAGCAUUCUAUUCGUAUGAUCUUCAUUACAAUCAAUUUUCUUGACAAGCCCUACAACCUGAACAGUUUCGAUCGAUAGAUAAACCCGGCAUGAGUUCACAAUUUUCCAAUUACAAGUUGCAGUCCCUAUAAACACACUUCGCAGGUUCAAGAUGAGAAGUCCCUAUUAAAUCUGGGCGACGCCGUUUUGAGGAACCUCCGUGUUGAACAUGCGAGGUCCCUACAGAAACUGCUCGACGUCGUUUUGAGUAAACUUCAUCUUCCCCAAUCAACCAAACCGAGAAUUUCUCUGACAUCGUCGGUUCUUCUUCUUCUUCUUCUUCUUGCAUUUCGUUAUAUCUCAUCAAUUAAUCUACUUAUGUUCUCACUCCUUCUAUUGGCUCUUACGGAAAAUGCAAGAAAACCGAGAAUUUUUAAACUUUACUUAUGCUUGCAUAUAGCCUGUGUCUACAAUUGGGUUUGCAUGAAGAGUGAAUAUGGGUAACAAGAUACGAAAAAAUGCAUUGUUGUUUCCUUUUUUUUUGGUGUUUGGAUAAACAGCUUGGUGGGUUUUUGAUUUCAUGAGCAAAAUCGAGAGAGCAAGCGACGAGGUUGUUUCCGCGACUCGAUCCGGACCGUUGUGCUCGGGCGGCCCUCAAUAAUUUCGUGCAUGAAGGUACCUCAGUUGUCUUUCUGUUUUACCUUGCUUCACUUGAAUUGAUGCCCCACUACUGAUCACUUGAAGUUAUAUUUUCGGUUUUAAAUGGUAUUUGUCUUCGUUUAAGCAUGUCAUAUUUCUGCUGUUAAUUUAGGAGGGGGUGGAGGUGAAGAUUCUACAACUGCAUGAAACUUAAAAUGUGUGGCAAAUUUUUAAUUUUUCGGUUUCGAUGCAUAAACCUAUGCGCAAACCUACAACCUGUGAGAUAUGCACAAGAAAAUACUUGACAUAGCACAAUACUCUUGUUUAGCUUUUCUGUUGGUAGUUCUGAGGCAGUCCUAAGAAGGGAUGAGCUUUCCCCCGCUGAAGCGUUCUAGGUUCUAGUUUAGAUUUGUGUAAGUAGAAUUCUAAAUCGGUCCUUAGAAAAGACGUGUUUUCCCCUGCGGAAGCAGUUCUGCAUCUAUUCUCCUAAGAGUAAUGGCAUUCCCUUAUGCUUUUUUGAUGCUCUCAGUUGAUUCUGAACUUAAUGAAGAAUUCAGUGCUAGCUUGUUUGUCCAGAGGAGAAUAGGGUGAAGAAUUGAGCCAUUUACGCAGUAGGUUUGCUGACGAGUUACCAGAUAUUUGGGAGAAACUAGUGAUGCAGCGUUAGUUAGAAGUGCAGAUGUUCUCCGGCCAAGAGUGAAGAAAAGAAGCAGUGCAUGGCUUGAAGAAAUUGCAGAGUAGAACUAGAGGGUCCAAAUUUCAUGAAAGCUCAAAAAACUGCAGUCAGCAAAUUUCAUGGAUCCUAUUACAUGCACUCAUCUGAUUUCGAGAUACACUCCCCAGCACAUGCGAAUGCAUUUGAAAGCACUAAGCUUGGUGGGCUCGCACACAAUCAUCUGAAGGAUGUUGAACUCAGUUGAUUUUGCGGAAGCCGGUCUCAGAUUCUGUUUCUUAUGCAGUUGGUGAAGUAUGCUGCUGUGCUUGAACAAUUGAGUUUAACUCUGGAGUCAGGAUUUCAUCGGGAAGGUUGUUAUUGGAGGACUGUGGGGUAUACUGGGUUUCGGCAUGUGGACAUUGAAAGGUUAGUCAAGAAAUUGCAGGAAAGUGCCACCUCCAAGAAGGUAGUGAUAAGUUUUCAUUUGUAAUUAUCCAUUGAGAACUUAUUUCACUAUGAGUCGUUGCUAUUUGCAAAUGAAUAACUGUUAAUGAGACAUGUACUAUUGGGUUUUUAUAACUGUUAAUGAGACAUGUACUAUUGGGUUUUUUUUC